AGAUUGAACGCUGGCGGCAGGCCUAACACAUGCAAGUCGAGCGCGAAAGGUUUCGGACUGAGUAAAGCGGCGGACGGGUGAGUAACGCGUGGGAAUCUGCCUGGUAGUGGGGGACAACGUUCCGAAAGGAGCGCUAAUACCGCAUACGCCCUACGGGGGAAAGGGGGAUCUUCGGACCUCUCGCUAUCAGAUGAACCCGCGUCGGAUUAGCUAGUUGGUAGGGUAAAGGCCUACCAAGGCGACGAUCCGUAACUGGUCUGAGAGGAUGAUCAGUCACACUGGAACUGAGACACGGUCCAGACUCCUACGGGAGGCAGCAGUGGGGAAUAUUGGACAAUGGGGGCAACCCUGAUCCAGCCAUGCCGCGUGUGUGAAGAAGGCCUUAGGGUUGUAAAGCACUUUCAGUGGGGAGAAAAGUGGUUCACUUAAUACGUGAAUUAAUUGAUGUUACCCACAGAAGAAGCACGGCUAACUCCGCGCUAGCAGCCGC
RNAcentral lists this ribosomal RNA (490 nucleotides) under uncultured soil bacterium. Its description in RNAcentral is "bacterial SSU rRNA". It matches the Rfam family "Bacterial small subunit ribosomal RNA", at positions 26 to 518 of the family's 1533-position model. The record is from RNAcentral.